Molecule: ribosomal RNA, 253 nt
Filed under: uncultured bacterium
Lineage: Bacteria
Description: partial 16S ribosomal RNA
Rfam family: Bacterial small subunit ribosomal RNA
Source: RNAcentral
UACAGAGGUCCCAAGCGUUGUUCGGAUUCACUGGGCGUAAAGGGUGCGUAGGCGGUCGGGUAAGUCUGGCGUGAAAUCUCCAAGCCUAACUUGGAAACUGCGUUGGAUACUAUCCGGCUCGAGGAAUGGAGGGGAGACUGGAAUACUUGGUGUAGCAGUGAAAUGCGUAGAUAUCAAGUGGAACACCAGUGGCGAAGGCGGCGAUCUGGGAAGAUACUGACGCUGAGGUGCGAAAGCGUGGGGAGCAAACAGG